This 395-nucleotide ribosomal RNA is filed under the name uncultured Sporichthya sp. Its description in RNAcentral is "bacterial SSU rRNA". It matches the Rfam family "Bacterial small subunit ribosomal RNA", at positions 999 to 1397 of the family's 1533-position model. The record is from RNAcentral. Lineage: Bacteria; Bacillati; Actinomycetota; Actinomycetes; Sporichthyales; Sporichthyaceae.
GGCAGAGAUGAGGUCCGCGCAAGGGGCCUAUACAGGUGGUGCAUGGUUGUCGUCAGCUCGUGUCGUGAGGUGUUGGGUUAAGUCCCGCAACGAGCGCAACCCUCGUUCAAUGUUGCCAGCACGUAAUGGUGGGGACUCAUUGGAGACUGCCGGGGUCAACUCGGAGGAAGGUGGGGAUGACGUCAAAUCAUCAUGCCCCUUAUGUCUUGGGCUGCACGCAUGCUACAAUGGCAGAUACAAAGGGCUGCGAUACCGUAAGGUGGAGCGAAUCCCAAGAAGUCUGUCUCAGUUCGGAUUGGGGUCUGCAACUCGACCCCAUGAAGUCGGAGUCGCUAGUAAUCGCAGAUCAGCAACGCUGCGGUGAAUACGUUCCCGGGUCUGUACACACCGCCCGU